UACAGAGGGGGCAAGCGUUGUUCGGAAUUACUGGGCGUAAAGCGCGUGUAGGCGAUGGCGUAAGUCGGGUGUGAAAUCCCUCAGCUCAACUGAGGAAGUGCAUUCGAUACUGUGUCGCUUGAAUGUCGGAGGGGAUGGCGGAAUUCCCGGUGUAGAGGUGAAAUUCGUAGAUAUCGGGAGGAACACCUGUGGCGAAGGCGGCCAUCUGGACGACGAUUGACGCUGAGACGCGAAAGCGUGGGUAGCAAACAGG
RNAcentral lists this ribosomal RNA (253 nucleotides) under uncultured bacterium. Its description in RNAcentral is "partial 16S ribosomal RNA". It matches the Rfam family "Bacterial small subunit ribosomal RNA", at positions 524 to 776 of the family's 1533-position model. The record is from RNAcentral.